UCUCUUGGUUCUGGCAUCGAUGAAGAACGCAGCAAAAUGCGAUAAGUAAUGUGAAUUGCAGAAUUCAGUGAAUCAUCGAAUCUUUGAACGCACAUUGCGCCCGCCAGUAUUCUGGCGGGCAUGCCUGUUCGAGCGUCAUUUCAACCCUCAAGCUCAGCUUGGUGUUGGGACUCGCGGUAACCCGCGUUCCCCAAAUCGAUUGGCGGUCACGUCGAGCUUCCAUAGCGUAGUAAUCAUACACCUCGUUACUGGUAAUCGUCGCGGCCACGCCGUAAAACCCCAACUUCUGAAUGUUGACCUCGGAUCAGGUAGGAAUACCCGCUGAACUUAAGCAUAUCAAUAAGCGGAGGA
RNAcentral lists this ribosomal RNA (351 nucleotides) under uncultured fungus. RNAcentral describes it as "eukaryotic LSU rRNA". The stretch from base 1 to 138 matches the Rfam family "5.8S ribosomal RNA", at positions 17 to 154 of the family's 154-position model. Lineage: Eukaryota; Fungi. The record is from RNAcentral.